Beta vulgaris subsp. vulgaris (sugar beet) is the source of this 1758-nucleotide RNA transcript. It is a transcript of the gene named transcription factor bHLH81, with no coding region annotated. The transcript is spliced from 6 exons. Lineage: Eukaryota; Viridiplantae; Streptophyta; Magnoliopsida; Caryophyllales; Amaranthaceae. The record is from RefSeq and is a predicted model, not a curated record.
CACACACACACAAAACGGUGACGUUUUAAUCCAACUCCUCACGCGCCAAACUACACCACCCCCUCUUUCUCUUAUCUCCUUUUCCAUCAAUUUCUGAAUUUAGACACCAAAACACACACAGACACAGUCAAGUGGACUUCUCACUGUACCCAAAAGCUACAAACUUUAAGGAGGAGAGAGAAAAAUCUAGUGAGAGAAAAAUCUUGUGAGAGAAAAUCAACACACACAAAAAAAAGAUGCAAGAAGGUGGUGGAAGUGAGUUAACUCGAACGAGUGGACUCGCCCGAUUCCGCUCAGCUCCGGCAACAUGGUUAGACGCUCUACUUGAAGAUGAUGACCCACUUAAACUUUCGGGCCCAACCCAUCAACACCAAGGUGGGCUAACCCAGCUCUUAACUGCUGGGACAACUACCUCAACUGGGCCUAGCUCGGUUCCCUCGGCCCGGCCCACUAGUGCAUCGUAUAUCUCACCUGAUCCAGGUUUCUUUGAAGGUGGAGGUGGUGGUGGUGGUGGGACACAUCAAGGUGGUAAUACGGUGGCGUUUCAACGGAUGAAUAGUUCACCAGCGGAGUUUUUGAGUGCUAAUAUUGAUGGGUAUUUUUCAAGUUUUGGGAUUCCUUCAAAUUAUGAUUUUGUAGGAGGAGGAUCUUCAGUGGAUGUUACUGGGUCUGGUAAAAGGUUGAGAGAAAGUGAUUCUGAGCAACACUCACCUAAUUUCUCAUCUCAAAGGAGAGGGGAGCAAAGUGGGUCAUUGACUACAGCUAGUAGUUUGGUGGAGAUGGAAAUGGAGAAGCUGUUGGAGGAAUCAGUGCCCUGUAGGGUUCGGGCUAAGCGGGGUUGUGCUACACACCCUCGUAGUAUUGCUGAGAGGGUUCGGAGGACGCGGAUUAGUGAUAGGAUAAGGAAGCUGCAAGAACUUGUGCCCAACAUGGACAAGGAUACCUGCAUGCUUGACAUGGAGUUUUCUGGAGGUUCUGCUCAAAGGUGGUAUUCCUUGCUUAUUGCACUCUGUGGAUGAUGGAGAAUGUAUUUGAGCGAAGGUUAUCAACAAACAAAUACUGCAGACAUGUUAGAAGAGGCUGUGGAAUAUGUGAAGACACUGCAAAGGCAGAUACAUGACCUGACAGAGCAGCAGAAGAAAUGCAAAUGCAUAGCCAAAAGCUGACUCUGGAAUAAGAUAAUUUUCGCAGCUUCGUUUUUUGUUAGUGUACCCUUUAAGUUCCGAUGUCUCACUAAGGUUGCCGAUGGCUUUAUUUUUUUAUUGGUGCCACAUAUUUGCAAGAAACUAUCCCCGGGUUGCUGUGGAUUUUCCAAUCGCAAAUGCAAGAUCUGGAGAAUUGGUUCGGAAAACCAAGCUUCAUAAUCGGUGUCGAGUUUCGUUUGCAAAGCUCUCCCACAAAUUUUAUGGUGGCAACCCAUGUUGUAUAAUUUGCUUGGUGAGAUUGUACUUUGUAUUAUGUUGUACACAAAUAUUGUAGUUUAGUAUUGUAGGAUCUUCUUAGAUUAUCAAGUUUGGGGUUUUUGUUACUAUAAAUGUUUGCUCUGCACAUAUGUAGAAGCCACCCAGAAGGGGAUUAGAUAGAAACAUUGUAUAACAUUGUCACAACUCACUCGAGAGUCGAGUGUAUUAUGUACCUGGAGAUAAUCUAAUAAUCUUUUGGCUCGUGAAGGCCAAUGUAAGCUAGUACUUAGUAUAUGACAUUGUUUUUAUUUCAGAAAUCAUGUAUAUAUUCACUUCAGCUUAAGCUUUUGGUUUA